This 1246-nucleotide long non-coding RNA is filed under the name Olea europaea (common olive). RNAcentral describes it as "long non-coding RNA (OEUR_LNC001515)". Lineage: Eukaryota; Viridiplantae; Streptophyta; Magnoliopsida; Lamiales; Oleaceae. The record is from RNAcentral.
CCAUUGGAGGAGGCAGGAUAGGAAAUUCUGAAAAAAGAAGCAUUAAUGGCCCUAAUGCCUUAAAUGACACUUCUACUCACAUAAAUGAGUCUACUGACCUGGUAACUGCUUUGUCAGGCAUGGGUCUUUCAGCUAGUUCUAUGGAUGAGGAGAAUAAUUUACCGUCUCGAAUUAAACAAGAAGUUGAUGACCAUGAGAAUUUCUUCAAUCUUCCAGGUGGUCAGAAUAACCUGAAGCAGCAUGCAUACCUGAAGAAAUCUGAAUCUGGGCAAUUCAAUAUGUCUUCUGUUCUUCAGCAUGCAAAAAUGAUGCCUUCUGACGCUGGUGUAAGCAAUGGCGAUGGUUUGGAUGUCAGCAACUCUUCUUUUCAAACUGAGCUGCACAAAACCAGUGCUUCUUCUAAUAAAACAUGGUGGUGUUGUUGGUGGCAGUAGUGGCAAUAGCUCUGCCUUUGCUGAGUAUGCAAGAAAUAAGAGUGGUAAUGGUUUCAUGUCAGAGGAGGAGCUUAGGUCCGAUCCUGCAUAUCUUAGAUAACAUUGGUUCAGCAGAGGCUGAGCUGGUUCAUAUGCGUCAUAAAUUGACAUCUGCAGACCCUGUACGCUCUGCUUCAAAUGUUCAGACCUCAUCUGCUUCUCAACAUGUUGGACCGCCCACAUCAUAUUCUUAUGCUGCUGCUUUGGGAGCUUCCUUGUCAAGAAGCUCCACUCCUGAUCCUCAACACAUUGCUCGGGCUCCUAGUCCUUGUCUUACACCCAUUGGAGGAGGCAGGAUAGGAAAUUCUGAAAAAAGAAGCAUUAAUGGCCCUAAUGCCUUAAAUGACACUUCUACUCACAUAAAUGAGUCUACUGACCUGGUAACUGCUUUGUCAGGCAUGGGUCUUUCAGCUGGUUCUAUGGAUGAGGAGAAUAAUUUACCGUCUCGAAUUAAACAAGAAGUUGAUGACCAUGAGAAUUUCUUCAAUCUUCCAGGUGGUCAGAAUAACCUGAAGCAGCAUGCAUACCUGAAGAAAUCUGAAUCUGGGCAAUUCAAUAUGUCUUCUGUUCUUCAGCAUGCAAAAAUGAUGCCUUCUGACGCUGGUGUAAGCAAUGGCGAUGGUUUGGAUGUCAGCAACUCUUCUUUUCAAACUGAGCUGCACAAAACCAGUGCUUCUUCUAAUAACUCUUUUGUGCAUGGAUCCUCUACCACAGCAGUUAAUGGUCGGAGUGGCCUAUUUUCUCAAUAUCAGCAUCUGGAUAGUCCAAAUUCA